RNAcentral lists this ribosomal RNA (326 nucleotides) under uncultured archaeon. RNAcentral describes it as "bacterial SSU rRNA". It matches the Rfam family "Archaeal small subunit ribosomal RNA", at positions 515 to 841 of the family's 1478-position model. The record is from RNAcentral.
GCAUCCGUAGCCAGCUAGACAAGUCUCCGGUUAAAUCCAGCUGCUCAACAGAUGGGCCGCCGGAGAUACUACAAAGCUAGGGAGCGGGAGAGGUAGACGGUACUCGGUGGGUAGGGGUAAGAUCCUCUGAUCCAUUGAAGACCACCAGUGGCGAAGGCGGUCUACCAGAACGCGUUCGACGGUGAGGGAUGAAAGCUGGGGGAGCAAACCGGAUUAGAUACCCGGGUAGUCCCAGCUGUAAACGAUGCAAACUCGGUGAUGCGUCGGCUUAUGGCCGGCGCAGUGCCGCAGGGAAGCCGUUAAGUUUGCCGCCUGGGAAGUACGGC